UUUUAAUAGAAAUAAUUAUUAAUAAAAUCUGCUCAAUGAAUUUUAAAUAGCCGCAAUAUUUAUUGUGCUAAGGUAGCAUAAUCAUUUGUCUUUUAAUUAAAGACUAGAACGAAAGAUUUCACAUUUAAAUUUCUUUUUAAAAAUAUAUUUUUAAAUUAUUUUAAAUAUAAAAAAAUAUUUAUUUAACAAAAAGACGAUAAGACCCUAUAGAAUUUUACUACAGUUUAACUGGGGAAGUUAUUUAAUUAUUAUUUUAAUAAAAAUAAAACAACAAAAGAUCCGUUAUAUACGAUUUACUAAUUAAAUUACCAUAGGGAUAACAGCGUUAUAAUUUUUUUAAGUUCUUAUAUUAAAAAUAGAUUGCGACCUCGAUGUUGAAUAAUUUUCCUAUUAAAUGCAAUAAUAUAAUUAAGGAAGUCUGUUCGACUUUUAAUUAAUUACA
RNAcentral lists this ribosomal RNA (442 nucleotides) under Neolana sp. CG121. Its description in RNAcentral is "partial 16S ribosomal RNA". The record is from RNAcentral. Lineage: Eukaryota; Metazoa; Arthropoda; Arachnida; Araneae; Neolanidae.